Molecule: ribosomal RNA, 483 nt
Filed under: uncultured bacterium
Lineage: Bacteria
Description: partial 16S ribosomal RNA
Rfam family: Bacterial small subunit ribosomal RNA
Source: RNAcentral
GUUGAACGCUGGCGGCAGGCCUAACACAUGCAAGUCGAGCGGAUGAAGGGAGCUUGCUCCUGGAUUCAGCGGCGGACGGGUGAGUAAUGCCUAGGAAUCUGCCUGGUAGUGGGGGAUAACGUCCGGAAACGGGCGCUAAUACCGCAUACGUCCUGAGGGAGAAAGUGGGGGAUCUUCGGACCUCACGCUAUCAGAUGAGCCUAGGUCGGAUUAGCUAGUUGGUGGGGUAAAGGCCUACCAAGGCGACGAUCCGUAACUGGUCUGAGAGGAUGAUCAGUCACACUGGAACUGAGACACGGUCCAGACUCCUACGGGAGGCAGCAGUGGGGAAUAUUGGACAAUGGGCGAAAGCCUGAUCCAGCCAUGCCGCGUGUGUGAAGAAGGUCUUCGGAUUGUAAAGCACUUUAAGUUGGGAGGAAGGGCAGUAAGUUAAUACCUUGCUGUUUGGACGUUACCAACAGAAUAAGCACCGGCUAACUUCGU